Helianthus annuus (common sunflower) is the source of this 569-nucleotide long non-coding RNA. RefSeq lists it as uncharacterized. The record is from RefSeq and is a predicted model, not a curated record. Lineage: Eukaryota; Viridiplantae; Streptophyta; Magnoliopsida; Asterales; Asteraceae. The transcript is spliced from 3 exons.
GUAGAGGCUCUUAUAUUCGGUUAAGGAGAGCAUGGCUAUUAUAGAUAUCACAAUUAGCACAUAGGUUAACCCUAAAUACUGAUUCCUUCCCCUCGAGUGUGCGACGGCAGCAGGCUGAUCGGAGGUCUUUUCCAUACUCACUCGUGUCCAUCUUAUAGUCGGGUUUGGGGUGUCCAACGAUAAAACAAGUAACUAGUCGUACCGAGCAAUCUAAGGUCGUUAGAUUUCUUGACAUGGACUUGCUAUCUGGGAGUGCUGGAGUGGUCAUGGAUCGAGGCUCUUGGAUAUACACGUAUUGAUACAUUGGUUUUGAAUACUUAUCAUGAAACAGUUGUUUAACAAUUCACUAUAUGCUUCCGCUACACAACUCUUUUGGUUUAAUCUUAUGAUUGGUAUUUACAAUUGACAAUUAAUGAUAAGUUUUAUUUAAAUACAAUGCGUGGUUCAAUGUGAUUGGUGGCUCGAAUCCUGGUACGUCACACAUCCCGCGGUGCUCCCGCAUGUGGUAUUUUGGGGGUGUGACAACUACCUUCAUCUUCUUCAUAUAAGUCUCAUUUUAAGCUUUGAAG